RNAcentral lists this long non-coding RNA (5536 nucleotides) under Daucus carota (carrot). RNAcentral describes it as "long non-coding RNA (DCAR_LNC003178)". Lineage: Eukaryota; Viridiplantae; Streptophyta; Magnoliopsida; Apiales; Apiaceae. The record is from RNAcentral.
CAAUUGUGCUUGUGCAGUUGUGCUGUAAGAUGGCGCGUAGAAAUACUAACAUGUAUGACAUAUUCAACUUCCUAUAGUCAGGAUUAUUAAUGUGUGUGCCUAUCGUUCAUCAUAUAUAUUCAAAAUAAGCCUUCGUAAUUAGAUAAUCAGAACCUUUACUCGCUUGGUCAUAGUGAAUCAAAGUUAUGGCAAUUUGGUACUUGUAAACUUACAAACUUGUUCGCUGUGUUUAUGAAAUGCAUUCUACUCUGGCAUAUGUUAUCAUUGUUUUAGUCUCUUAGUAGGGUUAUUUGAACUCUUAUGGUUUUGUGUAUGUACAAUGAAUAUAAAAUUUGACUACUUUCUGUAGAUUCUUGAUGGAACGACACAUUGCGGGGAGGCUUCGUGGAGGUUACUGGAGUUUCCAGUACUCAUUAUCUUGUACCAAAUGUAGCUUCAAAUUUGUAGUCUGCAAUUGUCUUUUUUAGUUGUACAUUUUAAAUAGAUUAUUAUUAAUGUCUCAUGUAGUGCUUAGAGUCUGUCAUUACAUAGAAAUUUUAUAGCUGAUACCAAAAGAUGUUUUCUGUGACUAUUUUACUUUGCUAGAUGAUAAAUGAACUUGACUUUGAAGAUAAGCUCUACCAUCCGCUAUCUAGUUAUUGCCUGUAGUUUUGCAAUUUGGCAGUCUUGGCUGAGAACUAAUAUAGACGGAAUGCAAUGCUUUAUUAUCCCACCCCCUCUUCCUCCCUCACCUCCAUUCGUUUCGUUAGAUUUUAUACCAUCGCUCUCUCUAAAAACUCUUCAUUCCUGCCUCUCAAUUUUAAAAACCCCCCCGGAGCCUGCGACGGGUUCUCUGCCCCUGCGCGGAUGGAGUGACAGAAGUUUUGAGACACAAUCGCUCUCUCUAAAAACUCUCCAUUCCUGCCUCUCAAUUUCAUUCUUCUCAAUUUUAAUCUCCCCCUCUCUCUCUCUCAAUUGCAUUCUUCCCAAUUUAAAAAACUACUAUUGUUUUCUUAUUCCUCUUUUUAUAUCAUAAGAUAAUAAGAUAGCCCUGCUUUCGAAAAUAUUUGCAAGUUUGCACCAAACAAUUGCAAGAUCUGUACCUGAAGCCCUAUUGUAGUAAAAUAAUAAAAAAAUAAACGGGGUUGCAUCUUGGUUGGGAGGAAUUGCAUUAGAUUGGCGCAGAGUACUGUAGAGCCGAGAUAUACUAAUACAUGAUGAUAUGGAAGCCUUAUUAUCUUUGUCAACACAACUUUACGGGAUCUGGUAACUUUUUUGAUAUUAUAAUCGCUCCGUGCCGUUCUUGUUCUCGACUAAGUAAAAUGGUAUCGAGUCGAACGCGAUUAAAUUGAAUUCAACUACAAAAUUUGAAUUGAUAUUCUAACAAGAAAUAAAUUAAAAGACUCAGGUCCCUGUCAUACGAGUAACGAGUUAGGAUAUAUUAUUAGCGAAUUUCCCAGUUUGAUCCUAAAAUUUUGAUGGAUAUACAGGAGAGUUACAUUGUUAUUUAAAGAUAAAUUGUUUGAAUUCAUUUGUCUCGACCAACACAUUCUUCGCUGAAUCUAUAUUAUUAUUAACAAUCGAAUAUUCUGGCAGCGGACGAACAACCAAACCAAAAUUUGGGUUUCUGCUCACUCACUCAUACCCAACUAAAAAGUUUGAAUUUGAUCCAUCUGUAAAAUGUAUACGAGUAAAAUUUGAUGUGCUCGACGUUUUACCUAGCCGCUGCAUAUGUCCGAAGUUCAUAUAUUUUAUAGUUCAAUUUAACUCCAUUAAAGAAUAAAUAAGACUAAUCAUUAUAUUCUAACUAAAAAAAAAGAGAUAUGAAAGUCCUAGCGAGUACUGCAACUCACGUUGGGCUUGAUAAAAGAACUCUAAUCUUCCGAGUUGAAGCUCAACCAGAUAAUUAUUGAAUCAACGAUCAUCGAGCCAUAUUCAAAUAUAUUGUGAAGUAUACACAGUUUAGUUAUUUAACAUCCUGGUUGUGUAAUUAAAUUAUGGGUGACAAUUUCGGGUAACGGGUCGUGUCAGCAAUCAGGUCAAGUUAAAAUCAUUUAAAAUUAAAUAAAAUCUGAAAAUUGAAGUUAUUAGAAACGAAAUUCUAAUUUCGGGUCACUUCGAGUCAUUUCGGGUCUAUUUUGUGUCAAUCGGAUGAUUUUCGGGUCACUUUUGAGUUUUGUCUCAGUAAAUCAGGUUGCGGGUUCGAUAUUGCCACCCCUAAAUUUACAAUGUAUAACUAUUUUACAUAAUUAUAUGCUAUAUAUUAUGAACAGCAACUAAUUAUACAUUAUAAUUAUUACCGAUUACCGAUAUAAAUAUCUCGAACCUGUUUUCAGAAUGCCGAUAACUCGUUCAUUUGGCCACCUCUGCUCGAUACACACAUAAAAUAAACAUCAUCACAUGUUAAUGCAGCCCGAAAGCAGUCAAGUAAAUAAACAAAUGAUUGACACAAGAAAAAACAUGUGGAGUACAAGAAGCCGGGUAAUGGUAGCCGAUUUCAACACAUCGGAAUAAUGCAAAAUCUAUCUAAUUAGCUUCCCUGAUUCCCAUAACCUACUUAGCUUUCAAUUAAAGUCUAUUACCUAAUAAUCGAUAUUUGUGCAUAUAAUUUUCUUUUUAUAAUUCUCGUCUACUCGUUCUCUUUGACAAAGAUAGAUUAAUCCCAUUUAUGUACAUAAUUUUUCGUUUUUAAAAUUAAAUACACUCAAAUACUCUUCUCUUUAUCAAAGCUCAAGACUCGACAUUCCACGGGGAGAGGCUGUUGCUUGUAUUCUAUGCAUGUACAUGUACUUGUGAAAGAGAUGGACAGUGCAGAGCUUAAAGGCUUGCCUGUUUUUAACGUGACAUCUAUCCGGAUUGUAUAAUUACGUUGUCGGGGCAUGAAGCUUAUACAAAACGAGAGUUUUGGAUAACCUCUGGGGCUGUUCGGGACAAUAUCAUCAUCUUCUUCUCAUAAUUAUUCACUCUUUUGUGUGGUACACCGUAUAACCAACUUUAACAACACUCUGGAAAUAUGAAAAAGAAAAAUGACUAAAAUAAAGGGAGAAAAGAUCAAGAUUUCACAAAAUUUAUAAAUAAUACCCAAAGUAACAUAAUCAAGAGAAAUGACCCAAAAUGUCAUUUAUUAACGUUGGAUAAUCUAGUGUUUUGAUUUUUGAAAGAAAACGCUAGAUGGUGUCGCGUAUCUGUACAAAACGUAACACGACAUGACNAUUAUAAAAUGUAAUUUGAGAUCCAGAAACCUAGCAUAGCAGUCUGUCUACAUAUUUUGAAUGAGAUCCUAGACACUAUGGCUACAAGUGAAUACUAUAGUUUCUGUUGGUAUCGACUAUCGAGGCUCUUGGCCCUUGACUUGAUGUGUACUUGGCCAGGCUUUUAUGUUGUUGGUAUUUUAAGUUUAGACUUAUCCGUUAAAUGGAGAGCUGGUGAUCCUCUUUAAAUUGUUUUUGACAUGUUUCUUGUAAAACUGGUAUGACUAUGAUAUUUAGAAUCUAUGACAAUCUGAAAGUAAGCCGGCAUAUUCACAGAGAAGUGCAUCAUGUUUGAUUGAUCGUGCGCAACUUGUCAAUUUUUUAGGUAUAUGAGUCUAAUCAUGAUACUGCAUUAAAGGCUGGUUUGAUUGAAGGACCCUGUAAAGUUCUUCCACCACGACUCUUUGCUGAAGAAAAUCAAAGGAAAAUUCGUCUAGGGAUGGAAGCCAGUGGUAGACUACAGCCCCUUUUUGUUUGCAAGUAAGUUGCUGUUUCUUUCUGUGGAUUUUUCAGGUGUCGAUCCAGUACAAAUAUGGGUUAAGCAAGUGUGCAAAAUACAGACUAAAAUAUUUACUUUGAAAUCUUGAAAUGGUACUAGGUAAGCUAGAGAAAAUGGACAUGAUGAGCUGAACUCAGAUAAGAAUGGUGAAACAGAUAAACAAAGGGAAAAUUUGUUGACAAAUUAUUUACUUUUGUAGUUGAUAUUCUAGGAGUGGAAAAGUUGAAUUAAGAGGCUAUUGCUAGAUAUUAAAUCUUGUUUGUUUCAUUUAACUUCAGCACUGUGCUUCUGUAAGUGCUUGUUAACUUUGUAAAUAUAGAAUAUUCUAAAUUGUUUACCUUUUCUCUGAACAUCUAAUUAUUAAAUUCCUAAUAUUCCUUCUCUAAAAUUUAAUCUUUUAUAGUGAUAUGUAUUUAUGAUAUCGGUAACAAAUUAUAUAAUCUUAUACAACAGAGAAGAACUCCUUUAUCAAUUAUAUAAAUUGAUUAUCCAGAACAAUUUUUUUGUAUUUUUUUUUGAAAUUAACUAAAUAUUGCAAUUUUUUUUUAUCUUGUCUCCUCUGUUUACUAAUCUAUUACCACCUCUCUCUCUCUCUCAGAUGGUUCUUUGAUGAACGGAAAGGGCUUUUCCGUGAUGUUACCAGUUGAUUUAGUUGCACAUCUAGGCCGCAAAGUUUUAAUGUUAUUUAAUUUGCUACUCGGCGGCCUCCACAACUGUAUCAGGUACUGAACUACCUAUAAUUAGCAGCCCCGUUUCUGUUGUCGGCUUUACCAUCAUUCCAGUAAUUGAUUAUGUUGAAGAAUGCUGAUUUAAUAAAUCACUGAUAAUGAAUCAAACGCAAGCACCAGUAUGUGGUAUAUCAUUCAGGAAAAAGUGUAUUUUUCAAAUCAAACUGGUCUAUAUUCUGUUCAAACUCUUGGCAAAUUCAUUAUUCCCCAGCACAAUAUCAAAAACUCAUUUGUUUUUCUAAAAUCAAACUGGUCUAUAUAUUGAGAACUCAUUUUUUGGUACAACCUGACACAAUAUCUCGUGUUCUUACAUUCUCGUUAGCAUGCUACUGCUGCCUUGCUCUAGGCUUCUAUCAAGUAUCAAGUACUCCCAAUGUGUAGUACAGUUGUAUAAUUUAACCAUGCAUGCCACUAGAUCCUGGCCUCAGAGUCCUCAUCCUAAUCUUGAUGUAAGUUGACAGUGGAUGUCUAGAGUCUAAUCAUCUUCGUUGAAAGACUUACUUAUACAUGAGGUUUUGAUAAUGCUUGCAGGGAGAUUAAUCAGUUAAUAGUAAACAUGUUCUCUAAGAAAACAUUUUCAUUUAUUUGUUUAGCUGUAAACAUGGAUGAAAUAAUAUUGAUACCUUUACAAGAUAUUUGCAUUCUAAAUAGUUUGCCGUACAUAUUUCAUAUUAUGUUUAUAAACAAUUUUAACUACCUUGAACUAGUCGCAACAUAUAGAUGUCCUUAAAGUUACCCUAAUUUUAUUAUUAACUUUUUGCCAUAUCCCAAUUGUGCUUGUGCAGUUGUGCUGUAAGAUGGCGCGUAGAAAUACUAACAUGUAUGACAUAUUCAACUUCCUAUAGUCAGGAUUAUUAAUGUGUGUGCCUAUCGUUCAUCAUAUAUAUUCAAAAUAAGCCUUCGUAAUUAGAUAAUCAGAACCUUUACUCGCUUGGUCAUAGUGAAUCAAAGUUAUGGCAAUUUGGUACUUGUAAACUUACAAACUUGUUCGCUGUGUUUAUGAAAUGCAUUCUACUCUGGCAUAUGUUAUCAUUGUUUUAGUCUCUUAGUAGGGUUAUUUGAACUCUUAUGGUUUUGUG